CACGUAGGGUGCGAGCGUUGUCCGGAAUUAUUGGGCGUAAAGAGCUCGUAGGCGGUGUGUCACGUCGUUCGUGAAAACCUGCAGCUUAACUGUGGGCGUGCGGUCGAUACGGGCAUCACUGGAGUUCGGCAGGGAGACUGGAAUUCCUGGUAUAGCGGUGAAAUGCGCAGAUAUCAGGAGGAACACCCGUGGCGGAAGGCGGUCCUCUGGGUCCGCCGACGCU
RNAcentral lists this ribosomal RNA (223 nucleotides) under uncultured bacterium. RNAcentral's name for it is "partial 16S ribosomal RNA". It matches the Rfam family "Bacterial small subunit ribosomal RNA", at positions 524 to 747 of the family's 1533-position model. The record is from RNAcentral.